This 497-nucleotide ribosomal RNA is filed under the name uncultured bacterium. Its description in RNAcentral is "partial 16S ribosomal RNA". It matches the Rfam family "Bacterial small subunit ribosomal RNA", at positions 28 to 507 of the family's 1533-position model. The record is from RNAcentral.
GAUGAACGCUGGCGGUGUGCCUAACACAUGCAAGUCGAGCGAACAGACGAGGAGCUUACUCCUCUGACGUUAGCGGCGGACGGGUGAGUAACACGUGGAUAACCUACCUAUAAGACUGGGAUAACUUCGGGAAACCGGAGCUAAUACCGGAUAACAUGUUGAACCGCAUGGUUCAACAGUGAAAGACGGUCUUGCUGUCACUUAUAGAUGGAUCCGCGUCGCAUUAGCUAGUUGGUAAGGUAACGGCUUACCAAGGCAACGAUGCGUAGCCGACCUGAGAGGGUGAUCGGCCACACUGGAACUGAGACACGGUCCAGACUCCUACGGGAGGCAGCAGUAGGGAAUCUUCCGCAAUGGGCGAAAGCCUGACGGAGCAACGCCGCGUGAGUGAAGAAGGUCUUCGGAUCGUAAAACUCUGUUAUUAGGGAAGAACAAAUGUGUAAGUAACUAUGCACGUCUUGACGGUGCCUAAUCAGAAAGCCACGGCUAACUACGUG